RNAcentral lists this long non-coding RNA (736 nucleotides) under Homo sapiens (human). RNAcentral describes it as "HSALNT0041617". The record is from RNAcentral. Lineage: Eukaryota; Metazoa; Chordata; Mammalia; Primates; Hominidae.
UAGGACCCUCCGAGCCAGGUGCCGGAUAUAAUCUUGUGGUGCGCCGUUUUUUAAGCCCGUCGGAAAAGCGCAGUAUUCGGGUGGGAGUGACCUGAUUUUCCAGGUGCCGUCUGUCACCCCUUUGUUUGACUAGGAAAGGGAACUCCCUGACCCCUUGGGCUUCCCAAGUGAGGCAAUGCCUCGCCCUGCUUCGGCUCGUGCACGGUGCGCGCACCCACUGACCUGCGCCCACUGUCUGGCACUCCCUAGUGAGAUGAACCCGGUACCUCAGAUGGAAAUGCAGAAAUCACCCGUCUUCUGCGUGGCUCACACUGGGAGCUGUAGACCUGAGCUGUUCCUAUUCAGCCAUCUUGGCUCCUCUCUAACAGGGUGUGCAACAAUUGGGAAUGCUGAGCAAGGCUUUGCCCCUAUAUCCCUAUGCACUUCUGUUGGAAGAAUGUUCAAGCCUCUUCCCAAGACAGCUCCAGUGUUUGGGGAAAAUAAAGUGCUCUCCCUUGGCCUGGGCCCUUGGAUCCCAAGUGGAAAGGUGAGUCACGGAGGGAGGUGCUCUUCCUCUCUCAUGUACUAGGACUUUACUCAUUUUUGUAGCCAGAUGCCAUCACAAGGGCCGUUUGCUGGCAUUCUCAUUUUUUGGAUCAAUGGUGUCCUUCACAAUUCUGUGAAGGAAAUUUCCAUUUUCCUUCUUGAUUUAAAGUUCACAGAGUUGGUCUUUAUGCACUAUCUUGCUAUUUCCAAG